AACGGUUCAAUUAUAUAAACACAUAACGAGAAUUUUCUUACAAAAGGUUCCAUCAAAACCCUAGAUAACAAAUUAGCUAUUCAUAAUAGUAUGCAAAACUACAAUACUAGAAUUCAUAACCAAUAAUGAAAAUAGGAAGAAGGAAGUGAAAAACUCGUAGAAGAAUUCUCCUCCUUGUUCCUAGCGUGUUUUUGCCUCCUUGAGUCGAAUCCUCUCUCUAAAAACGUCCACCGUCUCUAAAAAAUAACUUUAACAGGUAUUUAUAAGGUAGGGUUAACAUGUCCACGUCCAAAACUAAGGAGGAAAUAAAAUUGGCUCGGAUAGCAUCGUCGGCGCGAGGCACUGUCUGGGGCACCAAUAUUUCUACGCGAGGCACUGCCUGGUCUACCAAUAUUUCUGCGCCAAUGUUUCUGUGCUAGGCACUGUCUGGGGUGCCAAUGACAGUGCCCUGGACAAUGCCUUGCACUGUCUAUGGCCAUGACUUUUCAUUGCCUUGCACGUCUUCUUUUAUUGCUUCAUUUUGUAGCUCUAAGGUACCAUUUCGUGUAACUUUUUUUCAAUUCAUGUCCAAAUAUUCCUACACGUGUAAUAAGCUCUAUUAAGCACAAUUGUCGCACAAAUUAGCAUCCAAACAACAAGCAAGUAGGGUAAAUAAUGUCAAAAUAUAUGGAUUUAUAGCACGAAAUCACUAAUAGAACUGGUGAUAUGAGUCUAAUCACUAUGAAUUCUAAUUCUUACAUUUGAAAAAAUGUUUGUAAGGCUGACUAUUUGUGCAAAGUUGGAACAGCCUAGAAUAUUGGCACGAGAGAGACUAUAAAUCUUUGGUACGGUCGUUCAAUUCUAGAGAUACCAAUCUUCGAACACUUAUCCAGGGUCCUUUGAAUAGGUUGAAAGACCAAAAAUCCCUUAUCUAUCAUCUUCCAACAUAAUUCUUGGUAUUUUUCUAGCAUUUCUUUUAUCUUACCCUACGAAAUCAUUCAACGAAUCCAUAAUACCCACAUACAACUUCUAUGCCGAUAAAACUUUUUCGGGAUCCUUGUGCUGAUGGGUCUUUUACUAUCCAAUCGGCGUAUGCACUUUACCUCUCCCUUAGUGAAAGUAUUAGUGAUUCCUAUCCAUCAAAAUUGCAACUAGGCAUGAACUGUCUGAAUCUUGAAUAAGAUCAAGUAUUUUUUUUGGCUUCUUUAUGCUAAUAAGCUUGAUCAUACACGAGAAAUUUAAAAAGAGGACAGUCUGGUGCACAAAAUAUUCCGCAGUCAUGUAGGAUCCGUGAAAGGACCGCACCUCAAGGGGAGUAAUAGGCAGCCUACUUUGACGCAAGUAUUAAUGACUAAUUCUACUGCUCGACUUCUGACCUAUAGGUCAUACGGAGAUAACUUUAUCAUAAAUUCUCUUUGCUAGAAAUAUUAUAUCAACUAGUAAUUGCGCUCUUUGUUCUGCCCCUGUUGAGACACUUCAACAUCUCUUUAUUGAAAGCACGUUUAAUGCUCACAUAUGAACAUCCUUAAAUAUUCUCAAUGUUCACAAUUUUGGCCCUGCUAUAUAUCAAGGAAGCCUGCUCAAAGUUUAGCACCGUACCGAUUUCACCAUGAUAAUGGGCUAUUCCCUUCCCACUAAUAUACCCCUCCCGAUUGUUCUUUGGAGCAUCUGGAUUAAUCUAAAUAGAAAUGUUUUUAACAGUACCUCAACCUUCGUCUUCAUCAACGUAUCGUCGUGUAGGUUGCUAAAGUCUUCUUCCUCGCAAAUGUUGUCACCUUUUCUCCUUGGACCAUCACCAUCCAUGUUAAUUGGCAAUUGCCUUAGGAUGAUGUUGUUAAGCUUAACGUAGAUGGUGCGCAUAACAAUAUUACUGGAAAAGGAGGAAUAGGGGAAGUGUUUAGAGCCGUAUAGCUAGUUGGUGUUGGAAAAAAUAAUAUCCCGCACAAGAAUAAUAUCCACGAUAAAUAAUAAUGACACAAGAGAGUAACAAUGACACUAAAUCUUUUAACGGAGUAAAAUACAAUACCCGAGAGGAGCAAUAUAAUACCACUAUAAUAUUACAACUUUGUAGUGUCAAAAGACUACUACGACUCAAAAGAAAUAAACUCUUUAUUUUAAAUAUCUCACCACAAUAUUACUCUCACUCUAUUUUCUCACGGACUAUAAAAUAGUUUGUGGAUUACUCUCACAACUCUAAUACUUCUCUCUUAUUUUUGGUGUGUUUUCA
Molecule: long non-coding RNA, 2206 nt
Filed under: Nicotiana tabacum (common tobacco)
Lineage: Eukaryota; Viridiplantae; Streptophyta; Magnoliopsida; Solanales; Solanaceae
Description: long non-coding RNA (NTAB_LNC007633)
Source: RNAcentral